This 463-nucleotide ribosomal RNA is filed under the name uncultured bacterium. RNAcentral describes it as "bacterial SSU rRNA". It matches the Rfam family "Bacterial small subunit ribosomal RNA", at positions 28 to 494 of the family's 1533-position model. The record is from RNAcentral.
GAUGAACGCUAGCGGCAGGCCUAAUACAUGCAAGUCGAGGGGUAACAGGGAAGCUUGCUUCCGCUGACGACCGGCGCACGGGUGCGUAACGCGUAUACAAUCUGCCCUUAACUGGAGCAUAGCCACUGGAAACAGUGAUUAAUACUCCAUAACACUGCACGAUCGCAUGAGAGAGCAGUUAAAGAAUUUCGGUUAAGGAUGAGUAUGCGUGACAUUAGCUAGUUGGUGAGGUAACGGCUCACCAAGGCAACGAUGUCUAGGGGUUCUGAGAGGAUGAUCCCCCACACUGGUACUGAGACACGGACCAGACUCCUACGGGAGCAGCAGUAGGGAAUAUUGGGCAAUGGAGGCAACUCUGACCCAGCCAUGCCGCGUGCAGGAUGAAGGCGUUCUGCGUUGUAAACUGCUUUUAAUGGGAAAAAAGCCUUGCGAGACAAACUGACGGUACCAUAUGAAUAGCACC